RNAcentral lists this ribosomal RNA (516 nucleotides) under uncultured bacterium. RNAcentral describes it as "bacterial SSU rRNA". It matches the Rfam family "Bacterial small subunit ribosomal RNA", at positions 32 to 518 of the family's 1533-position model. The record is from RNAcentral.
AAACGCUGGCGGCGUGGACAAGACAUGCAAGUCGAGCGAUCAUUAGCGGGUAGGCAAUAUUCGCUAAUGGGAGCGGCGCAAGGGUGGCGUAACACGUGGGCAAUCUGCCGUGAAGUUGGGAUAAUCCCGCGAAAGCGGGACUAAUACCGGAUGUGACAGCUGGGAGGCAUUUCCUGGUUGUUAAAGUUGGGGACCGUAAGGCCUGACGCUUCAUGAUGAGCCCGCGGCCUAUCAGCUAGUUGGUGAGGUAACGGCCCACCAAGGCUAAGACGGGUAGCUGGUCUGAGAGGACGACCAGCCACACUGGAACUGAGACACGGUCCAGACACCUACGGGUGGCAGCAGUCGAGAAUUUUUCACAAUGGGCGCAAGCCUGAUGGAGCGACGCCGCGUGGGGGAUGAAAUGGCUUCGGCCCGUAAACCCCUGUCAUUCGCGAUCAAAUGUUGUUAUUUAAAAGAUGACAGCCUGAUAGUAGCGGAAGAGGAAGGGACGGCUAACUCUGUGCCAGCCGCGGC